AACGAACGCUGGCGGCGUGGAUAAGACAUGCAAGUCGAGCGGGAACUUUUUUGGUAGCAAUACCGAAAAAGUUCUAGCGGCGAACGGGUGCGUAACACGUGGACAAUCUGCCUUAAAGUGGGGGGAUAGCUCGGCGAAAGCCGAAUUAAUACCGCAUGUGAUGAGAGACGACAUCGUCUUGAAAUCAAAGCCGGGGCAACCUGGCGCUUUUUGAGGAGUCCGCGGCCUAUCAGCNGUUGGUGAGGUAACGGCUCACCAAGGCUAUGACGGGUAGCUGGUCUGAGAGGACGACCAGUCACACUGGAACUGAGACACGGCCCAGACACCUACGGGUGGCAGCAGUCGAGAAUUUUUGACAAUGGGGGUAACCCUGAUCGAGCGACGCCGCGUGGAGGAUGAAGGUCUUCGGGUUGUAAACUCCUGUCAUUUGAGAACAAGGUGCACCGGUUAACUGCCGGUGCAUUGAUAGUAUCAGAAGAGGAAGAGACGGCUAACUCUGUG
RNAcentral lists this ribosomal RNA (501 nucleotides) under uncultured bacterium. Its description in RNAcentral is "bacterial SSU rRNA". It matches the Rfam family "Bacterial small subunit ribosomal RNA", at positions 29 to 507 of the family's 1533-position model. The record is from RNAcentral.